Molecule: long non-coding RNA, 1119 nt
Filed under: Gallus gallus (chicken)
Lineage: Eukaryota; Metazoa; Chordata; Aves; Galliformes; Phasianidae
Source: RNAcentral
GGAACAUCCCCGGUGUGUCUUGCAUACCAUAGCACCAGUACUAACAGAGCUGUUUUACCAGGAACGUGGAGCAGCCUCUGCUUCGGACAGGAGGACGUCCGUCCCAGGAGAAAGAGCAUCAGUUCUCAGUUGGGCCACCUUCCAUGCGAUGGAGCAACGUAGCUAAGCUGUAGGUUGCCUUAUGCUUGCAACACUGCAACCCCGAGGAAGUCUGCAUCUGCAGAGAUCUGCCUUCAUGCCUGGACUGAUAAGCGACGCUGGGGAAGCGUCUUGGCCAGAUGCUGCUGCAGUAUCCCGCCUCCUCAUCGCAUCGCCCUCUGGAAGACAGAAGUGACGAUCAGCAGCGUGGUGUUGUCCUGCAGGCAGCUGAAGAACCACUUUGACAGCAAGCAGGAGAACAACUAUGCAGUGUAAUCACAGCCUGUCUGUGCUCUUUCUAACAGUGUACAUGAGCACCCUAUUCCCAGCGAGGGGAUGCUGUAACCUCCCCCUGCUGACCUGUAUUCUUCUCCGUUACUGUAACCAAGCUGUUUCUUUCCCACAGCCACGCGUUCCUGCAGAUAUACCAAGGGUUCCCAUGCAGAUAGGUUUACAAAUUCAGGAAGGGCUUGGACAGAGCAAAAGGAGAAUGAAGUAAUUCCCAAAUAUUUGCACUGUGGCUGAUGAAAUUAGCAGGAGAGCUGAGUGGGUGUAUAGGGGUCUGCUGGGGGACGGAUGGAAGGAAACCUGGGGACAAACUGUCUCCUGUUCGACGUGCUCUGAGUGCUGUGUGAUAAAGGUGAAUCACCCAGCUUAGCUGCAGGUGAGCCAGCAGGACAGUGGCUGGGGCCGGGUCCCACUGCAGCCUGUGUGGGGGCUGUGUGCUGGGUCCGGUGGGCUUUGAAUCCCACCACAAAGACAGUGGCUGUCGACAAGGUCACGAACGCAGAGCUUCGCCUUCUGUUGAUUAUGUGGUUGUCAGUGGAAGAAUUACUGUGUAUCUAUGGGAAAUGUUAAAAAACAACAACGCCUUUUUUUCUUGAAUAAAUCUGUGAAACGAACCAACCUUUGUUUCUGUUCUGUUUCUUUGGGUUUCAUUCCCUUUGCGCUUAGCGACCCAUCGCUGUCCAACCCCCCCCC